This 300-nucleotide ribosomal RNA is filed under the name Triticum aestivum (bread wheat). RNAcentral's name for it is "partial small subunit ribosomal RNA". Lineage: Eukaryota; Viridiplantae; Streptophyta; Magnoliopsida; Poales; Poaceae. The record is from RNAcentral.
AUGCACGUCCUAGACCAAGCGUUGUUGAUGAGAGCCUGUUGCACUGUCCUGGUGUUGCGAGCGCGGGUGCUGACAAGCUCAAUGAUAGUUGGAGCGAUCUCCCCAACCGUGAAACCAUGUAUCCAUCUAUCCUUCCAGAAUAGGAUCCUCUCUCCAUUGCCCACCUCAAUUUUCACCAGACUGUUGAACACCAUCUUGGCUUCCUUAUCUUCGAUCAUCGGGAUACCUUGCCAGGGCCUACUGUGGUCCACUCUCCUCAGCCAUUCCCACCUUACGCGUAAAGCCAACGCUUGCAACUGA